GUGUCAGACCGUAGCGGAUCUAUCUGACUUACUAUCGGUAAUGACGUUAGGAAAGCGAGCGGCGGAUGGGUGAGUAACACGUGGGGAACCUGCCCCAUAGUCUGGGAUACCACUUGGAAACAGGUGCUAUAACCGGAUAAGAAAGCAGAUCGCAUGAUCAGCUUUUAAAAGGCGGCGUAAGCUGUCGCUAUGGGAUGGCCCCGCGGUGCAUUAGCUAGUUGGUAAGGUAAAGGCUUACCAAGGCGAUGAUGCAUAGCCGAGUUGAGAGACUGAUCGGCCACAUUGGGACUGAGACACGGCCCAAACUCCUACGGGAGGCAGCAGUAGGGAAUCUUCCACAAUGGACGCAAGUCUGAUGGAGCAACGCCGCGUGAGUGAAGAAGGUUUUCGGAUCGUAAAGCUCUGUUGUUGGUGAAGAAGGAUAGAGGUAGUAACUGGCCUUUAUUUGACGGUAAUCAACCAGAAAGUCACGGCUAACUACGUGCCAGCAGCCGCGGUAAUACGUAGGUGGCAAGCGUUGUCCGGAUUUAUUGGGCGUAAAGCGAGCGCAGGCGGAAGAAUAAGUCUGAUGUGAAAGCCCUCGGCUUAACCGAGGAACUGCAUCGGAAACUGUUUUUCUUGAGUGCAGAAGAGGAGAGUCGAACUGCCAUGU
RNAcentral lists this ribosomal RNA (652 nucleotides) under Lactobacillus crispatus. RNAcentral's name for it is "bacterial SSU rRNA". It matches the Rfam family "Bacterial small subunit ribosomal RNA", at positions 69 to 676 of the family's 1533-position model. The record is from RNAcentral. Lineage: Bacteria; Bacillati; Bacillota; Bacilli; Lactobacillales; Lactobacillaceae.